Caenorhabditis elegans is the source of this 21-nucleotide non-coding RNA. Lineage: Eukaryota; Metazoa; Nematoda; Chromadorea; Rhabditida; Rhabditidae. The record is from Ensembl.
UGGACGGUUUAAAUUAACUUC